CAUGGCGGACGGGUGAGUAACGCGUAAGAACUUAGCCCUUUAGACUGGGAUAACAGAGGGAAACUUCUGAUAAUACUGGAUAAGUUAGUAUAUCGCAUGAUAUGCAAAUGAAAGCUACGGCACUAAAGGAGAGCUUUGCGUCCUAUUAGCUAGUUGGUAAGGUAAGAGCUUACCAAGGCGAUGAUAGGUAGCCGGCCUGAGAGGGUGGACGGCCACAAGGGGACUGAGAUACGGCCCUUACUCCUACGGGAGGCAGCAGGG
This 261-nucleotide ribosomal RNA is filed under the name uncultured Leptotrichia sp. Its description in RNAcentral is "partial 16S ribosomal RNA". It matches the Rfam family "Bacterial small subunit ribosomal RNA", at positions 94 to 354 of the family's 1533-position model. Lineage: Bacteria; Fusobacteriati; Fusobacteriota; Fusobacteriia; Fusobacteriales; Leptotrichiaceae. The record is from RNAcentral.